RNAcentral lists this ribosomal RNA (320 nucleotides) under uncultured eukaryote. Its description in RNAcentral is "partial 18S ribosomal RNA". It matches the Rfam family "Eukaryotic small subunit ribosomal RNA", at positions 1470 to 1796 of the family's 1831-position model. The record is from RNAcentral.
CCCUUAGAUGUUCUGGGCCGCACGCGCGCUACACUGAUGCACUCAACGAGUCUCCACCUUGACCGAAAGGUCCGGGAAACCUUCGAACUUGCAUCGUGAUGGGGAUAGAUUAUUGCAACUAUUAAUCUUCAACGAGGAAUACCUAGUAGGCGCAUGUCAUCAGCGUGCGUCGAUUACGUCCCUGCCCUUUGUACACACCGCCCGUCGCACCUACCGAUUGAAUGGUCCGGUGAAAUCUCGGGACGGCGGCUCGGUCGCUUGCGUCCGACUGCUGAAACUUGAUUAAACCAUAUCAUUUAGAGGAAGGUGAAGUCGUAACA